GGGUUGUGAGGUUAAGCGACUAAGCGUACACGGUGGAUGCCCUGGCAGUCAGAGGCGAUGAAGGACGUGCUAAUCUGCGAAAAGCGCCGGCGAGGUGAUAUGAACCCUUGACCCGGCGAUGUCCGAAUGGGGAAACCCAGUGUGUUCCGACACACUAUCGUUAACUGAAUACAUAGGUUAACGAGGCGAACCGGGGGAACUGAAACAUCUAAGUACCCCGAGGAAAAGAAAUCA
RNAcentral lists this ribosomal RNA (234 nucleotides) under Enterobacter hormaechei. Its description in RNAcentral is "partial 23S ribosomal RNA". It matches the Rfam family "Bacterial large subunit ribosomal RNA", at positions 1 to 227 of the family's 2925-position model. RNAcentral also lists the same sequence under 2 other names. The record is from RNAcentral. Lineage: Bacteria; Pseudomonadati; Pseudomonadota; Gammaproteobacteria; Enterobacterales; Enterobacteriaceae.